This 204-nucleotide ribosomal RNA is filed under the name uncultured bacterium. RNAcentral describes it as "partial 16S ribosomal RNA". It matches the Rfam family "Bacterial small subunit ribosomal RNA", at positions 29 to 263 of the family's 1533-position model. The record is from RNAcentral.
AGCGAACGCUGGCGGCAGGCCUAACACAUGCAAGUCGAACGAUCCUUCGGGAUAGUGGCGGACGGGUGAGUAACACGUGGGAACGUGCCUUUUGGUUCGGAACAACUCAGGGAAACUUGAGCUAAUACCGAAUGUGCCCUUCGGGGAAGGAUUUAUCGCCAUUAGAGCGGCCCGCGUCUGAUUAGCUAGUUGGUGAGGUAAAGG